RNAcentral lists this RNase P RNA (236 nucleotides) under Propionibacterium sp. CG1_02_60_36. RNAcentral's name for it is "partial RNase P RNA component class A". It matches the Rfam family "Bacterial RNase P class A", at positions 1 to 246 of the family's 367-position model. From Rfam's summary of the family: Ribonuclease P (RNase P) is a ubiquitous endoribonuclease, found in archaea, bacteria and eukarya as well as chloroplasts and mitochondria. The record is from RNAcentral. Lineage: Bacteria; Bacillati; Actinomycetota; Actinomycetes; Propionibacteriales; Propionibacteriaceae.
CGAGCCAUCCGGGUGAUCGCGGCAGCGGUGAGUUGUCGAGGAAAGUCCGGGCUCCAUAGAGCAGGGUGGUGGGUAACGCCCACCCGGGGUGACCCGCGGGAAAGUGCCACAGAGAACAGACUGCCGGUUUCGAGCCGGUGAGGGUGAAACGGUGGAGUAAGUGCCCACCGCGUCAUCGGUGACGGUGACGGCAUGGCAAACCCCACCUGGAGCAAGGCCAAGAAGACCGUGAGGUC